ACCUGGCUGGCUCAGUUGGUAGAGUAUGUGACUCUUGAUCUCGGGGUUGUGAGUUUGAGCCCCACACUGGGUA
Molecule: transfer RNA, 73 nt
Filed under: Ailuropoda melanoleuca (giant panda)
Lineage: Eukaryota; Metazoa; Chordata; Mammalia; Carnivora; Ursidae
Rfam family: tRNA
About the family: Transfer RNA (tRNA) molecules are approximately 80 nucleotides in length.
Source: Rfam by way of RNAcentral